RNAcentral lists this ribosomal RNA (788 nucleotides) under uncultured Adhaeribacter sp. RNAcentral describes it as "bacterial SSU rRNA". It matches the Rfam family "Bacterial small subunit ribosomal RNA", at positions 8 to 796 of the family's 1533-position model. Lineage: Bacteria; Pseudomonadati; Bacteroidota; Cytophagia; Cytophagales; Hymenobacteraceae. The record is from RNAcentral.
AGAGUUUGAUCAUGGCUCAGGAUGAACGCUAGCGGCAGGCCUAAUACAUGCAAGUCGAACGGGUUUGAGUAGCAAUACUCAAAUCAGUGGCGCACGGGUGCGUAACGCGUAUGCAACCUACCUUAAACUGGGGGAUAGCCUUCCGAAAGGGAGAUUAAUACCGCAUAAUACUAUUUGAUGGCAUCUGAAGAUAGUUAAAGAUUUAUUGGUUUAAGAUGGGCAUGCGUGCCAUUAGCUAGUUGGUAGUGUAACGGACUACCAAGGCUACGAUGGCUAGGGGUUCUGAGAGGAUGAUCCCCCACACUGGCACUGAGAUACGGGCCAGACUCCUACGGGAGGCAGCAGUAGGGAAUAUUGGGCAAUGGACGAAAGUCUGACCCAGCCAUGCCGCGUGCAGGAAGAAGGCCUUCUGGGUUGUAAACUGCUUUUAUCUGGGAAGAAAACACCUAUGCGUAGGGAACUGACGGUACCAGAUGAAUAAGCACCGGCUAACUCCGUGCCAGCAGCCGCGGUAAUACGGAGGGUGCAAGCGUUGUCCGGAUUUAUUGGGUUUAAAGGGUGCGUAGGCGGCCCGAUAAGUCAGUGGUGAAAGCCUCCAGCUCAACUGGAGAACUGCCAUUGAUACUGUCGGGCUUGAGUACAGACGAGGUUGGCGGAAUUGAUUGUGUAGCGGUGAAAUGCAUAGAUACAAUCAAGAACACCGAUUGCGUAGGCAGCUAACUAGGCUGUAACUGACGCUGAGGCACGAAAGCGUGGGGAGCGAACAGGAUUAGAUACCCCGGUAGUCC